GUCUGGGAUUAGGACGACAGGAACCAGGAGCAGGUGGGGAGGCAGGAACCAGGAGCAGAAUCAUAGUUGUACCUGGCACAUAAAUGAAUAAAAAAAGACAAUGCCUUGGCCCACAAGGAGUUUACAAUCUAACAACAAGAGACCAUAAAAGGGAAAGGAAGAGGGUGGAGAGACGACAAACACUGCUCUACCAAAAGAUAGGAUUUCUGAAGAAACCAAAUGACUUGUUCACAGGAUGAGAGUUUGUGGGCCAGACUUCAGCUCACAGCAAGUUUUACAGAAGAGUUACAACUCCUUGAAAAAUAGGGUUUAUUGUAGAACUACAGUAAUCAUUGUUACAAAACUACUCUAAAAUGGAGAACAAAAUCUGUUACCAAAAAUUAUCAGAUAUACUAACACAUUUUUCUUGAUUAUCAACAUUAACAGGUAUUUCUUCUC
Mauremys reevesii (Reeves's turtle) is the source of this 438-nucleotide long non-coding RNA. RefSeq lists it as uncharacterized. NCBI's taxonomy places the organism in Eukaryota, Metazoa, Chordata, Testudines, Geoemydidae. The record is from RefSeq and is a predicted model, not a curated record. The transcript is spliced from 3 exons.